AUUGAACGCUGGCGGCAGGCCUAACACAUGCAAGUCGAGCGGAUGAAGGGAGCUUGCUCCUGGAUUCAGCGGCGGACGGGUGAGUAAUGCCUAGGAAUCUGCCUGGUAGUGGGGGAUAACGUCCGGAAACGGGCGCUAAUACCGCAUCCGUCCUGAGGGGGAAAGUGGGGGAUCUUCGGACCUCACGCUAUAAGAUGAGCCUAGGUCGGAUUAGCUAGUUGGUGGGGUAAAGGCCUACCAAGGCGACGAUCCGUAACUGGUCUGAGAGGAUGAUCAGUCACACUGGAACUGAGACACGGUCCAGACUCCUACGGGAGGCAGCAGUGGGGAAUAUUGGACAAUGGGCGAAAGCCUGAUCCAGCCAUGCCGCGUGUGUGAAGAAGGUCUUCGGAUUGUAAAGCACUUUAAGUUGGGAGGAAGGGCAGUAAGUUAAUACCUUGCUGUUUUGACGUUACCAACAGAAUAAGCACCGGCUAACUUCGUG
RNAcentral lists this ribosomal RNA (484 nucleotides) under uncultured bacterium. Its description in RNAcentral is "partial 16S ribosomal RNA". It matches the Rfam family "Bacterial small subunit ribosomal RNA", at positions 30 to 507 of the family's 1533-position model. The record is from RNAcentral.